This 611-nucleotide ribosomal RNA is filed under the name uncultured bacterium. Its description in RNAcentral is "bacterial SSU rRNA". It matches the Rfam family "Bacterial small subunit ribosomal RNA", at positions 395 to 998 of the family's 1533-position model. The record is from RNAcentral.
UGCCGCGUGUGUGAAGAAGGCCUUCGGGUUGUAAAGCACUUUCAGACGUGAGGAAAAGCUAAGUAUUAAUACUAUUUAGCCCUGACGUUAACGUCAGAAGAAGCACCGGCUAACUCCGUGCCAGCAGCCGCGGUAAUACGGAGGGUGCAAGCGUUAAUCGGAAUUACUGGGCGUAAAGCGCGCGUAGGCGGUUAUUUAAGUCAGAUGUGAAAUCCCUGGGCUCAACCUAGGAACUGCAUUUGAUACUGGAUAGCUAGAGUAUGGUAGAGGUGAGUGGAAUUUCAGGUGUAGCGGUGAAAUGCGUAGAGAUCUGAAGGAACAUCAGUGGCGAAGGCGACUCACUGGGCCAUUACUGACGCUGAGGUGCGAAAGCGUGGGUAGCAAACAGGAUUAGAUACCCUGGUAGUCCACGCCCUAAACGAUGUCAACUAGGUGUAUGGAACUUUAUGUUCUGUGUAUCGAAGCUAACGCGAUAAGUUGACCGCCUGGGGAGUACGGCCGCAAGGCUAAAACUCAAAUGAAUUGACGGGGGCCCGCACAAGCGGUGGAGCAUGUGGUUUAAUUCGAUGCAACGCGAAGAACCUUACCUGGUCUUGACAUGUAGCGAACUU